RNAcentral lists this long non-coding RNA (3154 nucleotides) under Trifolium pratense (red clover). Its description in RNAcentral is "long non-coding RNA (TPRA_LNC012123)". Lineage: Eukaryota; Viridiplantae; Streptophyta; Magnoliopsida; Fabales; Fabaceae. The record is from RNAcentral.
UUUGUAAUAGAAAUAUGGAACGAGUGCUUAUGAACCUAUUUUUAAUUGUCUAAUUCCUGAUAUAGGGAAACAAGGGAAUAACCACCAAGCAGGUGUAAGGGAGGGAUUCGACCACACUUAACCAUCCCACGUGGACACACACGCACCAUUUACUUUUACAAUCAUUUAAUUUCCUGCAAUUUACUUUUCUGCACUUUAAUUAUUGCAAUUUAUUUUAUGAUCAGCACAACUAUAUCCAAACACCAAAGCGAAUGCAAAAACAUUCCUAAGCGAAACUAGUAAUUUUGGCACAAUCCCUGUGUAGAACGAUAAACUUAUCACUUUAUUAUUUGGUACCGAUUUUGUGCACUUGCAGAACCACCGUCAAUUGGCUUAAUUCAGUUCACUUCAAUUUAAAUCUGCUUUGUUUCUGACUAUGACUUUAACGCUGAUGUCUAAAUCAUUAAGUAAGAAGUAUGUGUUCAUCCUCUACUUAACUAUAUUUCUUAAUUUACAUUUAUUACUAGAUCUCAUAAUAAUAAACUUGUGUUGAGAUCUAAGUUGAUCACUCGUUCAAACGUAUUAUAAGAAAUAAAGAUGCACAAAACAACAUAAUCAUUUCACAUGAAUAACACAUUGGACUUGUAUUGAACUUCACAUAAUUCCAAUAACAAGAGUUUUAGCCCAUGGUAAGCUUAACAAUACAUACAACCAAAAUCAUAGAUCUACACAUCAUAAAAAAGUUUAGAAGUGUAACAUAAGAAGAACAACAACCAAAGAUAAAUCUAUAUUAUUUUUGUUGUGAUUUUCCCUUUUUUAGCAUGAGUUAUCAAUGUGUCAAAAUCAUAAUGUGAGUUAUCGGUGUGUCACAAUAUUAUUUUUGUUUUGUGAUUUUGCCUUUCCUAGUAUGAAGGGUUAUAAAAUAAUUAAAAUUUGGUAAAAAAAAUAUAAGUAUGAAUCUUAUGAUUUGUAAAUUUUUUGUAACCUCCUUACUAAAGCUGUUAAAGGGGUAUAUUAAUGCAUUGGUUAUACUUAAGAGACAUUUAAUAAUUAUUUUAAUAAUUAUUUUAAUUUUACGAAGUCUAAUCAUUUUAGAACUCUAUAAAUGUUAAAAGUUAUUUAUUUGAUGCAAGAAGAAUUUAAGCUUUAUAUAUCAAAAAGCGAUAAAAUCAUAUUCUAUUUAUACAUGCAACAGUUGUAAAAUAUGAAUAAAAUUGAAAAGUUUGUUUAUAAUAUAAUUAUCCUUCUUUCCCUAUUUCUUGUUUCAACAAGCUCUCAAGGUAAAUAAUUUUAUCUCCUUUGCAAAUUUCCUUCCAUUCUUCCUACACAAUAUUUUAUCUCAUUUUAAUAAUAUUAAUUUUUGUUUCUCUUUUUAGAUAUUCGAUGUGUCUUACCAAAACGAAAAAAUAUUCAUUGUCUUCGUAAAGGUGAUUGUCCAUACAAUUUUUGCCCAUAUCCUACAAACACAAAGUGUAUUAAUGGUUUUUGUCAUUGUAGUAAUUAAUUAAUUAAAUAUAAAGCUCUAUAGGUACCUAUGAGUUGUAAUGUAGUUAUUGUGGUAACUAAUAAUUUAAUUUUCUUUUAACUUUUAAAAUUUCAUGAACCUUUUUUGUACUAUAAUAUGAUGCAACAGAAAUGAAAUAACGCAUCAAAGAAUAUUAUUUAUACUCUCGUGUCCAUUUGUCCCUUUUUUUAAUGAAAGAUAGUUGUUGACUAGCAACUGCACUAGUUUAUCGUUCAAGUAGUAAUAAAGAUCGAACCUCGAGGAUUGUGUUAACUAAUACAAUGGCAAAUCGAAUCAUUCUUAGUUAUAAAUACAAAGAUUGGGGGUGUUGCAUAUCACAAUCUUUCAACCACAAAUCAAUUAAAAGCAAAUGAACGUUUUGUUCAAAUUUGAGAAAGUUGCAUUGGAUUUCCUUUGGAUUCUUCAAUUACACGGAAUUGUAACUUUUGUACGUAAAUGAAUCAUUGAAAUCCAAUGUGCACCUUAANNNNNNNNNNNNNNNNNNNNNNNNNNNNNNNNNNNNNNNNNNNNNNNNAAUCCCAACCAUUAAUUUUGAUCAUGUGGCUGUUAUUUAAUGCUCUCAUCUCUCAUAAUAACACUUCCUCUCACUUGAUAUAUAUUGCCAUUAAAAAAAAAGUAAAAAAGGAAAUGAAUUUUCUUUUGAAAAUUUAGGCAUAAUGGUUAUCUUGUAGUUAAAUAUAAUUUUCCCCUUCAAAUUCAAUUAAUUAAUAAUCAAAUCUAAAAUCAAUGGACAUUUGAUGAUGUGCGAGGAGAGUGUCUCUGUUGAAGAUUUUGAAGGAUGAAUGCUAUUGUAGAAAAAUUCAGAUCUUGAUAAUUUAAGUCUAUAAAUCUUAAAAUUUAAAAUGAUUGCUGAUUUUGUUUUUCUUUCACCAUAGUGAAGAAGAAGAAGGAGAAAAAAUAAUUGAGUGUGAUUUUUCAAAAACUAAACAAUGAGAGUUGAUAUAGUGUUGAGGGUCCAUGAUAAGAUCUUGUGAGAUAAUUUGACCUAAAAAUUAAAAUAUGUGGUACACAAUACAAGACAUGAGAAUGUCUUUUAUGUUAGAAUAAGCAUUUUAAUAUAAGUGGGAGAAUAGGAAAGAAAAUGUGAUAUUUUUUAAUUGAUAUUAAAGGAGAAUCCAAUACUAGUAAUACACAUAAUAUUCUUUAAUACUUUAUUUCAUUUCAGUAGCAUCAUAUUAUUUUAUUAUAGUACAUAAUAAUAAGGUCCGUGAAAUUUGAAAGCUAAAAGAAAAUUAAAUUAAUGGGUGUCACAUAACAACUCAGAAUCUAUAUGGUGCUUAAUAAUUAAUAACGACAAACACACUUAUUUUUAAGACACCUCGGUUUAGAAGGAUAUGGGCAUCGUAGCUCGAUACAAUCUUUAGCAUAAACACAUUCAUGUCCCACUAUAAUGUAAAAAAGUGAGAAAAUAAAAUUUUAUUAAAAUGGAAUAAAAUAGUGUGUACGACGGAAAUAAGGAAAUUUGUAAGGGAGAUAAAAAUGCUUACAUUUAAUACUUGUUGCAACAAGAAAUAGGGAAAGAAGAAUAAUAAUCAUAACACAAAUAAACUCGAUAAUUUUAAACAUAUUUUCCAACCUUUGCAUGUAUCAAAUAGAAUAUGAUUUUAUCACUUUAUAAUUUAUGGAAUUUAUGUUCUCCUUACAUUAAUU